RNAcentral lists this unclassified non-coding RNA (385 nucleotides) under fungal sp. Its description in RNAcentral is "partial internal transcribed spacer region". The stretch from base 1 to 46 matches the Rfam family "Eukaryotic small subunit ribosomal RNA", at positions 1786 to 1831 of the family's 1831-position model. The record is from RNAcentral. Lineage: Eukaryota; Fungi.
AAGUCGUAACAAGGUUUCCGUAGGUGAACCUGCGGAAGGAUCAUUACAAAAAACAAAAUCCAAACCACACCAAAUGUGCUCAUUGCUGCAGAGAGAGAUGUGGAUAAUGUCUCAAUUGCACAGAGAGAAGAAAACCUUGUCUUUGUGUGUGUGUUGUGUGUGUUGUGUGUUUGUAAAAAAACACGCAUGCACACACACACACACACACAAGCUUUGCUUUCUCAACUCUGCUUUUGACUCUUUUUCACCUCUCUCUCUGCUUGUCUUUGUUUUUCAAUUUUUCAUUCACUCCUUGUUUAACCAACAACGGAUUACAAUGUUAAAACUUGAAACAAAACAACAAAAAACAAAAUGACAACUUUUAACGGUGGAUCUCUUGGCUCGU